Molecule: ribosomal RNA, 1011 nt
Filed under: Triticum aestivum (bread wheat)
Lineage: Eukaryota; Viridiplantae; Streptophyta; Magnoliopsida; Poales; Poaceae
Description: partial small subunit ribosomal RNA
Source: RNAcentral
AUGCUUCCCCAGAUAUCUAGUUCUUGUUCUUCCAAGAUGUAUCGCACAACCAAUCUCUUGUUCACCCUCAUCAUCCUAAGCAUCACUUCAUUUUCACAAGUGGUGAAUGCACUAGCACUACAACCCCAAUAUGCCCAUGGCAGUGGCUGCAUCCCUGCCGAGAGGGCCGCCUUGCUUGCCUUACAGAAGGGGAUCACAAGUGACAGCGCUGAUAUCCUCGCAUCGUGGGAAGGGUAUGAUUGCUGUCGGUGGAGGGGCAUCAGCUGCAGCAACCGAACAGGCCAUGUCAUCAAGCUUCACCUUCGCAAUACGUUUCCGGGCCCUAAAGCCUAUAACUACAAUGGGUGUAGUGAUGCCAAUUCAUUGUUCGGCAAGAUAAGUCCCUCUCUGCUUUCCUUGAAGAAUCUAGAGUACAUGGAUCUUAGCAUGAACUGUUUGCUAGGGCCAAAUAGCCAUAUUCCUCAGUUUUUGGGAUCCAUGGAUAACUUGAGAUACCUUAACCUCUCUGGCAUUCCAUUUACGAGUAGAGUUCCUUCUCAGCUUGGUAACUUGUCUAAGUUGCAACAUCUUGACCUUGGCGAGGGUUAUUCCGGGAUGUACUCAGCGGACAUCACUUGCUUAACAAAGCUACCCUUGCUGCAGUAUCUUAGUAUGAGCACAAUAAAUCUUGCAAGGAUAGCUGACUGGCCUCGUCCCUUGAAUAUGGUUCCAUCACUAGGAGUUAUCAAUCUUGCUGGAUGCUCACUUGAUACUGCAAGUCAAUCGCUUCCCUACCUUAACCUCACAAAACUUGAGAAGCUUGAUUUGUCCUUGAAUAAUCUAGGCCACUCAAUUGCAUCAAGUAGGUUUUGGAAAGUGACAAGCCUCAAAUACCUCAGCCUUCGUGCGACUCAGUUAUUUGGAAAAUUUCCGGAUGCACUAGGAAACAUGACGUCACUUAAGGUACUUGAUUUGGCAUUCAACAAUCUGAAUAAGACUGAAAACCUUCAAAGUCUUCUUAAAAACCUUUGA